This 403-nucleotide ribosomal RNA is filed under the name uncultured bacterium. Its description in RNAcentral is "partial 16S ribosomal RNA". It matches the Rfam family "Bacterial small subunit ribosomal RNA", at positions 28 to 526 of the family's 1533-position model. The record is from RNAcentral.
GACGAACGCUGGCGGCGUGCCUAAUACAUGCAAGUCGAACGCAGUGGGGACGGGUGAGUAACACGUGGGUAACCUCCCAUCAGAGGGGAUAACACUUGGAAACAGGUGCUAAACCGAUACUGAUGGAUGGACCCGCGGUGCAUUAGCUAGUUGGUGAGGUAACGGCUCACCAAGGACAGGCUGCAUAGCCGACCUGAGAGGGUCAUCGGCCACGCUGGGUCUGAGACACGGCCCAGACUCCUACGGGAGGCAGCAGUAGGAAAUUUUCGGCAAUGGCCGAAAGUCUGACCAGGAACCGCCGCGUGAGUAAAGGAGGUUUUCGGAUCGUAAAUCUCUGUUGUUAGGGAAGCGAUCUCUAACCAGAAAGCCACGGCUACCUACGUGCCAGCCGCCGCGGUAAUAC